UACGUAGGUGGCAAGCGUUGUCCGGAUUUACUGGGCGUAAAGGGCGUGCAGGCGGUUUGUCGCGUCUGCCGUGAAAGUCCGGGGCUCAACUCCGGAUCUGCGGUGGGUACGGGCAGACUAGAGUGAUGUAGGGGAGACUGGAAUUCCUGGUGUAGCGGUGAAAUGCGCAGAUAUCAGGAGGAACACCGAUGGCGAAGGCAGGUCUCUGGGCAUUAACUGACGCUGAGGAGCGAAAGCAUGGGGAGCGAACAGG
Molecule: ribosomal RNA, 253 nt
Filed under: uncultured bacterium
Lineage: Bacteria
Description: partial 16S ribosomal RNA
Rfam family: Bacterial small subunit ribosomal RNA
Source: RNAcentral